GACGAACGCUGGCGGCGUGCCUAAUACAUGCAAGUCGAACGCUUCUUUCCUCCCGAGUGCUUGCACUCAAUUGGAAAGAGGAGUGGCGGACGGGUGAGUAACACGUGGGUAACCUACCCAUCAGAGGGGGAUAACACUUGGAAACAGGUGCUAAUACCGCAUAACAGUUUAUGCCGCAUGGCAUAAGAGUGAAAGGCGCUUUCGGGUGUCGCUGAUGGAUGGACCCGCGGUGCAUUAGCUAGUUGGUGAGGUAACGGCUCACCAAGGCCACGAUGCAUAGCCGACCUGAGAGGGUGAUCGGCCACACUGGGACUGAGACACGGCCCAGACUCCUACGGGAGGCAGCAGUAGGGAAUCUUCGGCAAUGGACGAAAGUCUGACCGAGCAACGCCGCGUGAGUGAAGAAGGUUUUCGGAUCGUAAAACUCUGUUGUUAGAGAAGAACAAGGACGUUAGUAACUGAACGUCCCCUGACGGUAUCUAACCAGAAAGGCACGGCUAACUACGUG
This 508-nucleotide ribosomal RNA is filed under the name uncultured bacterium. RNAcentral's name for it is "partial 16S ribosomal RNA". It matches the Rfam family "Bacterial small subunit ribosomal RNA", at positions 28 to 507 of the family's 1533-position model. The record is from RNAcentral.